RNAcentral lists this ribosomal RNA (521 nucleotides) under uncultured bacterium. RNAcentral's name for it is "partial 16S ribosomal RNA". It matches the Rfam family "Bacterial small subunit ribosomal RNA", at positions 28 to 523 of the family's 1533-position model. The record is from RNAcentral.
GACGAACGCUGGCGGCGUGCCUAAUACAUGCAAGUCGAGCGGGCCUCCGGAGGUGCUUGCACCUCCGGAAGGCCAGCGGCGGACGGGUGAGUAACACGUGGGCAACCUGCCUUUGAGGCCGGGAUAACACCGGGAAACCGGUGCUAAUACCGGAUGCGUCCCCUUUCGCGCCUGCGAGAGGGGAGAAAGACGGUCUUUAAGGCCGUCGCUCAAAGAGGGGCCCGCGGCGCAUUAGCUGGUUGGUGGGGUAAGGGCCUACCAAGGCGACGAUGCGUUGCCGACCUGAGAGGGUGAUCGGCCACACUGGGACUGAGACACGGCCCAGACUCCUGCGGGAGGCAGCAGUAGGGAAUCAUCCGCAAUGGGCGAAAGCCUGACGGUGCAACGCCGCGUGAGUGAGGAAGGUUUUCGGAUCGUAAAGCUCUGUUGUGAGGGAAGAACAGCUUCCGGAGGAAAUGCCGGAGGUUUGCCGGUACCUCACCAGAAAGCCCCGGCUAACUACGUGCCAGCAGCCGCAGUAA